RNAcentral lists this long non-coding RNA (272 nucleotides) under Oryza sativa (Asian cultivated rice). Its description in RNAcentral is "long non-coding RNA (OSAT_LNC000587)". The record is from RNAcentral. Lineage: Eukaryota; Viridiplantae; Streptophyta; Magnoliopsida; Poales; Poaceae.
AGCUUGCUUGACUGUAAAGAAGAACGAACUGCACUUUUUCUGGACACUUCAUCACCGGGACAAUCAGAUACACUAAGUUUGCUUGGUGACAGCCCUGGUGAGGUAAUGCUUUUUCUAGCCUUGUUGUGAAUCUUUGGAGAAGAACAUAACGUAGGGUCUUGCAUUGGUGACAGGUGCGGGGAGGCACUAACUGAUAGAAAAGAUUUCCUGUCAGACACAAGGUCUUGAUCAACUUUUGUACUGGACAACACUUCAUGCUCUUCCUGAAUCGG